GACGAACGCUGGCGGCGUGCUUAACACAUGCAAGUCGAGCGGAAAGGCCCUUCGGGGUACUCGAGCGGCGAACGGGUGAGUAACACGUGAGUAACCUGCCCCAGACUUUGGGAUAACCCUCGGAAACGGGGGCUAAUACCGGAUACGACACAGCUUCGCAUGGGGUCUGUGUGGAAAGUUUUUCGGUUUGGGAUGGGCUCGCGGCCUAUCAGCUUGUUGGUGGGGUGAUGGCCUACCAAGGCGACGACGGGUAGCCGGCCUGAGAGGGCGACCGGCCACACUGGGACUGAGACACGGCCCAGACUCCUACGGGAGGCAGCAGUGGGGAAUAUUGCACAAUGGGCGGAAGCCUGAUGCAGCGACGCCGCGUGAGGGAUGACGGCCUUCGGGUUGUAAACCUCUUUCAGCAGGGACGAAGCGUAAGUGACGGUACCUGCAGAAGAAGCGCCGGCCAACUACAUG
Molecule: ribosomal RNA, 462 nt
Filed under: uncultured bacterium
Lineage: Bacteria
Description: partial 16S ribosomal RNA
Rfam family: Bacterial small subunit ribosomal RNA
Source: RNAcentral